RNAcentral lists this long non-coding RNA (1574 nucleotides) under Homo sapiens (human). RNAcentral describes it as "HSALNT0185210". The record is from RNAcentral. Lineage: Eukaryota; Metazoa; Chordata; Mammalia; Primates; Hominidae.
AGGGCGAGGCCUGGGGUAGGGCCAGGAUAAGCCUCACUGGGGCAGGUCCUGGGUAGAGACCAGGUUGGCGGGUCUUGGGGCGGGGCCAGGAUAGGGCGAUCCUGGAAGCUGGGCUUCGGAAGCGUCCAGGUUGGUGGCGUCCUGGAGGCAGUGCCUUGCGUGGGGGCAGGAUAAGAGUCCUGGAGGCGGGCAUUAGGGCGGGGAUAAACGCCAUUGGGUUCAGGAGGCGGGACUCAGAGCAGAGCCCAGGAGACAGGUCUUAGGGCGGGGCUAAGGCCAGACCCAGAGAAGGGCUCAGGAGGCGGGGCAGGGGCGGGGCGUUGACUAUGUCUUGGCACAUGGCCAGGCGGUGCGCGGACUCUGGGAGGCGGAGCUUAGGACGGGCCCACGUGGGGAGGGGCCCAGGGUCCGGGAGGCGGUGCCGAGUCCCGGCUGGGCUGCGCUCAGGAGGCGGGCCCUGGGAGGCGGAGCUUAGGGAGGGGCCGGUGGCGGGAGGGACCCAGGGACUGGGAGGCUGGUCGGGGCUGGGCUCAGGGUCCGAGACCUAGCUGGGCUUGGGGCGGGGCCGAGACGGAGCGAGGGGUCCAGGGUGUGGGAAACGGGGAGGGGUUUGAGGAGAGGAUCGGAAUGUGGCUCAAGUUCGGGAGGCGUUACCUGCGGAGGGUUUGAGGCAGGCCCAGGAGCGAGCCCACGGUCUGCCUACGCGGGGCCAGGGGCGGGAUAUAGACGUGGGGACAGAGUGGAAAACAACAAAAAUAUAAUUAUUUUAGUUCAAAGUUAUUGUGUCUUGAGUUGAAAGGCAGGGCAGUUAGCAACACAGUUCAGAUUUCAGUACUGCCCCUGAAAUCUGAACUGUGUUCAAAGUCUAAAACGUUUACCUUAGCAAAUUCCUCAUAAAACUCCAUUUGGAAGAGUCCCGAGAGCGAAUUUGUUAAGUACACUUGCAAAAGGUAGAUGAGGAGACAGAUAAAAUCUUAUUACCUCUUUCAGAUGAGAGCCACUUGAGCCCUGCUCAGCUAUGAGAAUAAGAGAGGGGAAUUAAUUCUAAUUGAAUACACUUGUUCUCUUAUAGCUGUUGUUCCACACCAGAACCAAAUGAGCGCAAGAUCUGACAAAGAAAAAAAAAGGUUCAUCUUUUAUUCCUCCAAACACUUUCAUUUAAAUCAAGAGGAUGGGAUGUGGUUAUUGCUGUGUUUUUAGGCAGAAUCAACGGUUUCUGGGUCUGAGAUGGUGCAUACACCCUCUCAGUCCCUGUAUCCUGAGAUGGAGUCACCUAAGAAUCCACAGCAAGUCCUAACCAGGGAUGGGUCUGGGUGAUUAAGGAAGGUUGGCUUCAGAACUGGGCCAGGGGCACUGCUUUGCUUUUGCUGUUUUGAUCAGCUCUCUGCCUGCAGGAGACAAGGAAAACCAAUGGGAACAGGUUAGUUGUACUCAUAAAUCCUGGGCUUAUUUUCUUAACUCACAUAAUAGCUAUUAAUUGUCUUUCCUCCAAGGAGCAAAAGGGCAUAUAUGGUCAAUGCCAUAGUAAGUAACAUUGUAUUAUGUUAUACUAAAAUAUUAAUAAAUCUAGGUUG